Molecule: long non-coding RNA, 925 nt
Organism: Aedes aegypti (yellow fever mosquito)
Lineage: Eukaryota; Metazoa; Arthropoda; Insecta; Diptera; Culicidae
Exons: 2
Source: RefSeq, a predicted model, not a curated record
AUCUGCAGCUCCAGUUGUAAAACUGUUUUGAUUGCAUCGUGAACUAAGCAUGGCGAAUGCAUUUCCGAUUGGCCUUUUUCUGAGUAUUGCCACAUUAAUCAUACAAUCUGGAUCUGCUCUCAACUGUACCAUAUGUGUCAGUUCGGCGGGAUAGGAAAGCUGUACGAAUGCAAGCGUGAUUGUCCCGUGCAGCGUUGUUGAGGUGAACUACGUCCACGAAGAAUCAAAAUUAUUCAAUCCCACUUUGCAAAGUUUGCCGGAAUCUACUACCAACGUUAGCUUUCAAUGUUUCUCGCUUGAAGUGAUGUCGAACAAGUCUUCCGCACAGCAGGAGAUUGAACGCAGAUUUGUUUCCUGGUGUACCUUCAAGCCGCAGAAAUUCUGUGAAGGAUGGAACGAUGCGCUCCAAUUGGUUCGGUGUGAUACUUGUGAAACACUGGAUAUUUGUUCGUUGAAGGAGGAGAAUGGGAACAAUGGCAAUGGAGCAGGAUAUAGGGUAAUGGUCAAUCCGAUGACCAUAUAUAUGCUAGGUCUGGUGGCACUGAUUAAUUUGUUUUGUCAAAGGCCUUCUUGAAGGAUUAGGAGCAGAAUCAUAUCCAGAGAGCUUCAUAUUUCUAGACUAACAUGUGAAGUGCCGGAACAACCUUUACCAAUCAAAGUGAAACCCUCGCAAAAAAUAUUUGUGUUACAAAUAAGAAUAUCAGUUUUAAGUGUUAUUACAAGUUGCUUCCGAUAUUUUGUUUCCACUUCAUGUGAAAUUUGUAUGGUCCAAUUUGCCCCACAAUAUCUUUAUAGUGAUAGGUCCCAUAAAACAAGCAUCACAAUCAAAACUUUUCCUACCCGUUUCAAACAUUUUCCUAAAGAAAUGUACUAAAACAUUCCAACAAAUGAUUUCAUAGCUGAAUAGAUGAAUCCAAACGCAGAA